UGGUCGGGUUUGCAUUCCAAUGGCAUUGCCCGGUAGCUAAGUGCGGAAGAUAUAACCUCUGAAAGCAUCUAAUCGGGAAACUUGCCUCGAGAUGAUUCUUCCCUGUCGCUUUAAGUGACCUAAAGGAACGUUUAAGACUAAGACGUUGAUAGGCUGGGUGUGUAAGCGUAGCGAUACGUUGAGCUAACCAGUACUAAUGAACCGUGAGGCUUAACCUGACAACACCGAAGGUGUUU
RNAcentral lists this ribosomal RNA (236 nucleotides) under Proteus mirabilis. Its description in RNAcentral is "partial 23S ribosomal RNA". It matches the Rfam family "Bacterial large subunit ribosomal RNA", at positions 2713 to 2925 of the family's 2925-position model. The record is from RNAcentral. Lineage: Bacteria; Pseudomonadati; Pseudomonadota; Gammaproteobacteria; Enterobacterales; Morganellaceae.